AUUCUAUUCAUAAUAUGAUUAGUACUAAUUAUAUUGAUUAAGCUAACUAAUCAGUAGUAUCAAACCUCAGAAGCAACUGAGAUUCAGGGAAAGAUAUGUGGGCUCUGAGGAUCGAGCAUAUAAUGAAUCAACUCAGUUUUAUUAAAAAAUUUGGAGUCGAUCAAUCACUGGUUUUUGCUUUGUUGAUCUUAAAAUUAAUAAUUAGUAUCUUUUCUUUGAUCUCCUUUAAUGAAUCGUGAUCUCUAACAAAUUAUUUUUACCUGUUUUUUAGUAAAAUUCUUUACUUUAAAAAAAUAAACUUCUUCAAUAAUUUUGAUUAUGUGUAAUUAAAUCUUUGUUUCCUCCGUGUGUUUACAGGCAGUGUUGUCAUUCAUGGCCUUUGCUACUGGUUUAGUUGUGUAUUAUGCGUUUGCGGCCGUUGUUUAAAAGCUUUUGGAAGCUAUUGUGCAUCACAUUAAUGUUCAAAAUAUGCUGAAGAAGAUAGAUCGGUUCUGGAUCUGGUUGACUCGUUCUCAAAGUGGAAAAGGCCGCGUCUUCUUUUUCUUCUCGUUGCGAUGAAAGGAAACGUUUCUGUUACCAAAAAUUUAGGAAAUUCUCUUCCAAAAUCCCAUAUUCUUCGUAAUAUGAUUCCAAAAACCCUGAAUCUCAUUCUUUAUAAAAAUCCUGAGUCUGUCAAUUACCCUAACACUUCAGAAAACCCUAAUAACUGGAGCCCUAAUUUUCUGAAAAUGGCCAACAACACUGGAAAGACAGUGGUGGACUUGGCGGAAAAAUUUAGAAAUGCAGUGAUUGAACUUGGUGAUGUUGAUGAAGCUGUGAUUCAUAACAUUGAAGGUGGAGAAAGGAAAGAAGGUGAUGAUUGGGAAGCUAUGCUGGUUGGAAAAAUUAUGAUUGAAGGAACAAUGGGUCUCAAAUCAGUAUAAACUAUAUCAAGUUCACCUGGCCAUUUAUUCCAGAAGAUGAAGUUAGGGUGUUUGAACUGGAUACCAAUAUUAUGGAAUUCAAUUUUAAGAGCUGGAUUACUCUCAACAAAGUCUGGGAAGAAAGACCAUGGAGCAUCAAUGGUUAUCUGGUAAUCCUAUAUGAUUAUAACAGACAAAUGGUUUAUCAAGAUUUAGACUGGGAACAUCAAUCUUUCUGGAUUCAAUUGAAGAAACUGUUACCAGAACAUAUGAAUCCUCCUGCUGUGAAGAAGAUUGGGGAAAUAAUGGGUGAAGUCAUUGCUAUCCAACCAGAAGAUGCAAUUCCCUCAGCUAGUUAUCCUGUAAAAGUUUGUGUUCAGAUUAACUUAAGCAAUCCUCUAAGAAGGGGAGUUAUGGCUCUCACCAACUCUGGCUGCACAAGAUGGAUUAAGUUCUUCUAUGAGAAGCAAACUCAUAAGAUCUGCACUGAUUGUUAUCUCCUGCAACAUGUUCAAGGGGUAUGUAAGGCUGCUGCUGAGUUCUUGGAUAAGGCUCAUAAGAAACCACAUUUCUUUGAGGCUGCUGGUACUGGGGGGAAAAGGAUUACUCAAGAGGGAAGGACUAAUUCUGUGAUUCCAAAAGCAGUUCAGAAGGAAACUUCAAAGAAAAAUAGCUUUGUCCAUCCUCAAGAUGGGUUAAGAGUUAUCUCAAGAACUGCAUUUGAGGAUCAAGAAGGUGACAAUUCUGGAGAAGGUAGACUUGGAAAAAGACCUAGAAGUGCUUCAGUUCAGCUUAUUCAAGACACAAGCAGCUCUUGUUCUUCUUCUUAGCAGUCUGAACAUCCCUGUGAUGCACAAACAACAGCCAAGAGCAUAACUGAGGACAACCUUCCAAAAAGCACUAAGGGGGAGCUCAAGGAAGCUCAUGUCUACCUGACUAGAAACAAUAACACUCAAAAUGUUACUGCGGUUGAGGAGCUGACCAGAAAACUUAAACAAUGGUAUGAUAUUGAGGAAGACUAUUGGAGGCAAAGAGGUAAGGAUGAUGCUAUGCUUUUAGAUGAUAGGAAUACUGCCUAUUUUCACCAGAAGGCGAACUUUAGGAGACAAAAACACAAAUUGAGUCUUUAUGAAAUAAUCUAGGAAAUUGGUUAGAUGAUAGGAAAUACAUUGAAGAAGAAUUGCUUGGACACUUCAGUAGUAUGAGUAAAACUUCCCAUCCUCCUAAUUCUGACUCUUUUCUUAGUAACAUAAAUGCUUGCAUCUCCGCCAAGGACAAUGAUAUGUUAACUGUUAUGCCAUCCAAUGAUGAAAUCAAAAAAAUUGUCUUUGAAACGAAGCCUCGUACCACUCCAGGACCAGAUGGCUUCCCACCUGGUUUUUACCAACUUAUGUGGGAAUUAGUUGGUCCUGAAGUUAUUGAAAUGGUUAAAUCUUUCUUUCACUCACACCAUCUUCUAAAACAGUUGAAUCACAAUUUUACAACUUUGAUUCCUAGAAUAACUGUCCUAAAGGUGUUGUAGAUAUUAGACCCAUAAGUCUUUGUAAUGUCACUUACAAAAUUAUAUCUAAACUACUUGCAUCUAGAUUAAAGUUUGUGUUAAAUAAAAUCAUAUCACUAGCUCAAACUGUUUUCAUUUCAGGUAGACUCAUUCAUGAUAUUAUUGUGAUUGCACAUGAAUUAAUCUAUUCCAUGAAAAAUGCAAAGGCUAAAGAUGGUUGUGUGGCUAUAAAAUUAGACAUGUCAAAAGCUUUUGAUAGAAUUAGAUGGUCCUUUCUUCUUGAUAGUCUUAACAAACUUGGUUUCUCACAUGAUUGGUGCAGCAUGAUUAGUGAACGUAUUUCCACAGUUUCCACUUUCAUUUACUGAAUGGUGCUCCAGGUGAAGUUUACUAUCCACAAAGAGGAUUAAGACAAGGAGAUCCAUUGUCUACAUAUCUUUUUAUUCUUUGUAUGGAGGCCCUAUCUAGAGGUGGAUGCAAUGGAUUGUGAGGAGGUGCAUCUUCUGCAAUAGACCCGGAGCAAGCUGAAGCAAGGCACUUCUAGAGGCAGUCUUGUGGGCAAAACAGAAGGGGCUCACAAGGAUACAACUAGAGGGUAACUGCUUGAACGUGAUUGAAGCUCUUAAAGGGAAACAAACAUCAGUGAAGUGGACUACACACAAUCUGAUACAAGAUGCUUUAGAUAUUUUAAGUACUUUUAAUUUUUGGUCUUCCAAUUAUGUGCAUAGAGAUGCCAAUCAUUUAACAGACUCACUAGCUAAAUUUGCAAGAACUCAAGUAAUUUUCUUUCAUUGGUUAAACUCUGGUCCUGAAUGGGUUUCUUCCUUAACCCAGCAGGACAAAACAUUCAUUUAGUUUCCUUUAUCUAAAUAAAUAACAUCUUUCCUAUUA
Molecule: RNA transcript, 3294 nt
Organism: Papaver somniferum (opium poppy)
Lineage: Eukaryota; Viridiplantae; Streptophyta; Magnoliopsida; Ranunculales; Papaveraceae
Exons: 3
Source: RefSeq, a predicted model, not a curated record